RNAcentral lists this ribosomal RNA (253 nucleotides) under uncultured bacterium. RNAcentral's name for it is "partial 16S ribosomal RNA". It matches the Rfam family "Bacterial small subunit ribosomal RNA", at positions 524 to 776 of the family's 1533-position model. The record is from RNAcentral.
UACGAAGGGGGCUAGCGUUGCUCGGAAUCACUGGGCGUAAAGCGCACGUAGGCGGCUUCUUAAGUCAGAGGUGAAAUCCUGGAGCUCAACUCCAGAACUGCCCUUGAUACUGAGAGGCUCGAGUCCGGGAGAGGUGAGUGGAACUGCGAGUGUAGAGGUGAAAUUCGUAGAUAUUCGCAAGAACACCAGUGGCGAAGGCGGCUCACUGGCCCGGUACUGACGCUGAGGUGCGAAAGCGUGGGGAGCAAACAGG